RNAcentral lists this ribosomal RNA (1174 nucleotides) under metagenome. RNAcentral's name for it is "SSU rRNA". It matches the Rfam family "Eukaryotic small subunit ribosomal RNA", at positions 558 to 1759 of the family's 1831-position model. The record is from RNAcentral.
AGUCUGGUGCCAGCAGCCGCGGUAAUUCCAGCUCCAAAAGCAUAUAUUAAAGUUGUUGCGGUUAAAAAGCUCGUAGUUGGAUCCAUGACCACGGAGGGCGGUCCCCCACUGGGUGCGUACUGCUGCUCCGAGUCCUAUCUGUCAGUUUGUCUGUGUUGCCUUUAAUCGGGUGGCACAGGUGACUGACGUGUUUACUUUGAAAAAAUUAGAGUGUUUAAAGCAGGCGUUGAAUGCCUGAAUAGUGGUGCAUGGAAUAAUGGAAUAGGAUCUCGGUUCUAUUUUGUUGGUUCAAGAGCAUGAGAAAAUGAUUAAGAGGGACAGACGGGGGCAUUUGUAUUGCUGCGUUAGAGGUGAAAUUCUUGGAUCGUAGCAAGACAAACUACUGCGAAGGCAUUUGCCAAGAAUGUUUUCAUUAAUCAAGAACGAAAGUUAGAGGUUCGAAGGCGAUCAGAUACCGCCCUAGUUCUAACCGUAAACCAUGUCGACUAGCUAUCUGUCAGCGUUAAUAAUGACCUGACAGGCAGCUUACCGGAAACGAAAGUUUCUCGAUUCCGGGGGUAGUAUGGUUGCAAAGCUGAAACUUAAAGGAAUUGACGGAGGGGCACCACCAGGAGUGGAGCCUGCGGCUUAAUUUGACCCAACACGGGAAAACUCACCCGGCCCGGACACCGUAAGGAUUGACAGAUUAAUAGCUCUUUCUCGAUUCGGUGAUUGGUGGUGCAUGGCCGUUCUUAGUUGGUGGAGCGAUUUGUCUGGUUAAUUCCGAUAACGAACGAGAUUCUAACUUACUAACUAGUUCCACGAUCCCUGUGGUCCUAAAUACUUCUUAGAGGGAAAACCGGCAUUUAGUCGAACGAGAUUGAGCAAUAACAGGUCUGUGAUGCCCUUAGAUGUCCGGGGCUGCACGCGUGCUACACUGAAGGAAUCAGCGUGUUUUUCCCUUGCCUGUAAUGGCUGGGUAACCGACUGAAUCUCCUUCGUGUUAGGGAUAGAUCAUUGAAACUAGUGAUCUUCAACUUGGAAUUCCUGGUACGUUUGAGUCAUAAGCUCAAGCAGAUUACGUCCCUGCCCUUUGUACACACCGCCCGUCGCUACUACCGACUGGCAAUAUCUUUGAGACACUUGGAGCGGCCGUGAGCUACCCUAACUGGUAACUCACGGCUGCGAAAAGGUU